Molecule: long non-coding RNA, 1815 nt
Organism: Jatropha curcas
Lineage: Eukaryota; Viridiplantae; Streptophyta; Magnoliopsida; Malpighiales; Euphorbiaceae
Source: RefSeq, a predicted model, not a curated record
CCAUGUUUCAAUUCAGUCUCCUCCUCUUCCUUCUUUGCUUCUCUCUCAGGCUUUUAUUUAUUUAAUCUAUUUUCAAGAAAAUAUGGGAAUUCCUCUUUUUUUUUUCCUUAAUUUUCUUGUUUCAGAUUUUAUUUUAUUUUAUUUUAUUUACCCUUAUCAUAGCAUAUGUAUAAUUAAUUUGAUUUUCUUUUAAUUUUGUUUUUUGGCCGGAAUAUUCUUAGAUAAAUGCAACUUUUGGCAGAAUCUAACCGGAGAGAAAAACAAGCAGAGACCCAGAAACCAAAACCUGCGGAUUUUGUAACUCUUUCAAUUCUUUUUUAAUACCCAAGAAACAUUUCUCUUUUUUUUUUUUUAAUUUUUUUUUGUUUGGUAUGAAGAUUGAGUUGAAACACAGAGCAGACCAGGUUGGGAUUCUUCUCGGGUACCACCUUCACGUAAUCAAUUGUGAUUUUAACCAGUGGUCAGAUGCCACGUCAGAUUGUUCUCGUGGCCUUGUUGCUAUAUGGGCAAUGAAAAAUACAAUUUUUAUUUUAAUUACAACAAUAAAUAUAAUAUAUACUAUAUUUUUCCAUUUGGUUUAGUACUAAUCUUUAAUCUAUCUUGUUUCUUGAAUCUCUUAUCCCUAUAUAUAUAAAGGGGAAUAGAGGGGCUUUGUGCAUGGAUAGAUUGCCAGUCGUUGUUUGCAGAUGUAGCAUCAUCAAGAUUCACAUGCAAAUGUACGGUGGUGAUGAUGCUAAACUAAUCUCUCUCUCCUUCUUUCUCAAUCUUUUCUGCGUCUCUCUUCUUCUUUGAAAGUGAGAAUCUUGAUGAUGCUGCAUCGGCAAUAAACGACUAUACUCAUACAUAUAUUUUAUAUCUACACCAUCAUGCACCUCAACAUACAAGAAAAAGUUGAUUCUUUUCUUUUCCUUUUUGUUUUUCUUUCUUUCUUUCUGUUGCUUUCAGGUGAUGGUGGAGGUGGAGGUGGUUGUGGGUAUUAUCAAUAGCAUUUUUGUGCGUUUUUUUAUUUAAUUUUGGAUUAAUUGUUUGUGUCUAGGUAUACAACUAAUGGAUUUAAUUUAAUGGAACAGCUUUAUAUUAUUAUCUUUAUGGGUUCUCUUUCUUAUUAUGAUUUGCAGGUGGCGGUAUUUAAAGGGUUAUUCAAGAACCUUUUAUUGGUUUGAGUUGCUGACUCUGCAGAUCUAUGAUUAUUCCAUUCCUAGGAAACUAUCCUGGAAUCUAAAAAUGGUAUCUGUUUACUAGCUUUCUCGUUGCAGAUGUGAUAGGACUUCAAGAAACCAAGGAGAAGGAGAAAAAAAAGGCCAAGAAAAAGAAAAAAAAAACAAUUUAUAGAGGGAUUUGUGUUGUAAUGAAGUUGAAGAAACUCCUUUGGAGCCAGUUUGGAGCUAUUUGAACAGAAGCUAAGAAUCUAUAAGCUUCCAUUCUAACAAGUUAGAGCCGUAGACACAAUUCUUGCAAUUGGCUUCAUGAAUGGUUUUCUCUUUGAAAUCCCUGAAUACGAAGGGUCAAAGAUUAUUUCAGCCACGGUGGAAUUGAUAGUAAGUUUAUGUAGAAUUAUUUGAAAUGGAAAAAGAAAACGUUUUAUAUAUAUAUAUAUAUAUAUAUAGUUUCAGGAGUGAAGAAAUCUAAUUGGCAGAUCUUAGGGUUCAAAUUGCCUGUCAAUGAUUCAUGAAGAGAGUUUGUUAUAACAUCGGUCGCAAAUUAGCGUUUUUUUUGUAGUGUUAAUUGUAAAGUCAUACAAUAUCCUUUCAAAAUUGUAGUGGAAUGGAAAAGAAAUAGAAUUUUCACAAUCCUUAACUUAUAGAUUUUUCGCAA